AGUGAACGCUGGCGGUAGGCCUAACACAUGCAAGUCGAACGGCAGCACAGAGGAGCUUGCUCCUUGGGUGGCGAGUGGCGGACGGGUGAGGAAUACAUCGGAAUCUACUCUGUCGUGGGGGAUAACGUAGGGAAACUUACGCUAAUACCGCAUACGACCUACGGGUGAAAGCAGGGGAUCUUCGGACCUUGCGCGAUUGAAUGCGCCGAUGUCGGAUGAGCUAGUUGGCGGGGUAAAGGCCCACCAAGGCGACGAUCCGUAGCGGGUCUGAGAGGAUGAGCAGCCACACUGGAACUGAGACAAGGUCCAGACUCCUACGGGAGGCAGCAGUGGGGAAUAUUGGACAAUGGGCGCAAGCCUGAUCCAGCCAUACCGCGUGGGUGAAGAAGGCCUUCGGGUUGUAAAGCCCUUUUGUUGGGAAAGAAAUCCAUCUGGUUAAUACCCGGGUGGGAUGACGGUACCCAAAGAAUAAGCACCGGCUAACUUCGUGCCAGCCGCCGCCGUAA
RNAcentral lists this ribosomal RNA (506 nucleotides) under uncultured bacterium. Its description in RNAcentral is "partial 16S ribosomal RNA". It matches the Rfam family "Bacterial small subunit ribosomal RNA", at positions 29 to 523 of the family's 1533-position model. The record is from RNAcentral.